GUGUCAGCAGCCGCGGUAAUACGGAGGGUGCGAGCGUUAAUCGGAAUUACUGGGCGUAAAGCGUGCGUAGGCGGAUGCUUGAGUCGGAUGUGAAAGCCCCGGGCUUAACCUGGGAAUUGCAUCCGAUACUGGGCGUCUAGAGUGUGGUAGAGGGGGGUAGAAUUCCUGGUGUAGCGGUGAAAUGCGUAGAUAUCAGGAGGAAUACCGGUGGCGAAGGCGACCCCCUGGACCAACACUGACGCUGAGGUACGAAAGCGUGGGUAGCAAACAGGAUUAGAAACCCUCGUAGUCC
RNAcentral lists this ribosomal RNA (292 nucleotides) under uncultured bacterium. Its description in RNAcentral is "partial 16S ribosomal RNA". It matches the Rfam family "Bacterial small subunit ribosomal RNA", at positions 505 to 796 of the family's 1533-position model. The record is from RNAcentral.